This 486-nucleotide ribosomal RNA is filed under the name Rhabdophis leonardi (Leonard's keelback). Its description in RNAcentral is "partial large subunit ribosomal RNA". It matches the Rfam family "Bacterial large subunit ribosomal RNA", at positions 1838 to 2597 of the family's 2925-position model. Lineage: Eukaryota; Metazoa; Chordata; Lepidosauria; Squamata; Natricidae. The record is from RNAcentral.
AACAAAUAUUAAAGGCAAUGCCUGCCCAGUGAACAAUUAAACGGCCGCGGUACCCUAACCGUGCAAAGGUAGCAUAAUCAUUUGUCUAUUAACUGUAGACCUGUAUGAAAGGCAAAAUGAGGGUUUAACUGUCUCUUAUGAUAAAUCUAUUAAACUGAUCUCCCAGUAAAAAAGCUGGAAUACUCCCAUAAGACCAGAAGACCCUGUGAAGCUUUAACUAAACUAUUAAACCAAAUAAUAACUACUUUAGGUUGGGGCGACCUUGGAAAAAAAAAGAACUUCCAACAUAACAAAUAUCACCAAGGCCUACAAGCCAAUUAACGACCCAGUAACACUGAUAAUCGAACUAAGUUACUCCAGGGAUAACAGCGCCAUCUUCUUCAAGAGCCCAUAUCAAAAAGAAGGUUUACGACCUCGAUGUUGGAUCAGGACACCCCAAUGGUGCAACCGCUAUUAAAGGUUCGUUUGUUCAACGAUUAAUGUCCU